RNA transcript from Drosophila persimilis, 2030 nucleotides. RefSeq lists it as uncharacterized. The transcript is spliced from 5 exons. The record is from RefSeq and is a predicted model, not a curated record. Lineage: Eukaryota; Metazoa; Arthropoda; Insecta; Diptera; Drosophilidae.
UGGACACCGGCGUCUUCAGGAUUCUGGCGUCUGGUGCGUCUAUGUGGAAUGGGGCCUGCUUCACCUCUGCCUGUACCUGUGCCUGCCGCCUUUCUGCUGUUCUCGCGCCAGAAGCACAUUGGGCCGCAUCUCGACCGAGUACAGCGAGGGGAUACCCUUCAGGAUGUGGGCGAUGCGUACGCCCUAAACGUGUAGGUGGCGGAGCGGUGCAUCUACUGGACUGACCAGCCGCAUCUACUGGUCCGAUGCGGAGGUUCGUCUCAUCGAGGUCGCCCGCCUGGAUGGCAGCAGUCGGCGCGUGCUCUUGUGGAAAGGGUUGGAGAAGCCGCGUUCCCUCGUCCUCGAGCCGCGUCGUGGGGGUACAUGUACAUGGGCAGACUCCAUACGCCGCGCCACAAUGGACGGAUCCAACCAGCAACCAUGGCCGGGAGUUCAUAUUCGACCAGGAGACGAGACGCGACAAGAAGCGUCGGAUACUGGUUGUCUGCUAGGACUCCGUGUACUGGAGCACCGGGGACAUUGAUCAAGACGGGCCAGAGCCGCAGCCUCGCCAAGGACUUGCCCUACAUCCCCCCAGCUACGACAGACUGCCCGAAUGUGCCGCUGCCGGUGUCCGGCAAGAAUAUCCGUGCCCAGCCUCGCAACAUUACCGUGCAUGCUCUUCUCGACAGAAGUCGGCAGCCAUCGGGCCCGAGUCGAUGGCAAUGAGCGUGUGGAGCUGGACGGAGUCACGGCGCUGGCCCUGGACCAACAGUCCAAAAUACCAUGCGUAUCGAAGUUAUAGACAUCAAUGGGAAGAACAAAAAAACCUUUGUUUCCAUGCACAUCACGCAGGUGAACAACAUUGCCGCCUAGGGGGGAUUUGUGUACUGUCUGGACGACAAGACCGGACUGGAGACGAUCACUGUCAACGGAGAGCGUCGUUCCGUGGAGCUGCAGCGCCUGCCGCAGUUCACCAACAUCAGUGCCGUGUGGACACCGGAUGCGAAAGUGCUGCGCAAUCACAUGGCACAGUCGCCCAAAUUGUUUCCACAUCUGCAUAGCCAGCAGUACGCAGUACUCACGACGUCUGCUCGUGCCCCAAGCAUCUGAUGCUACUGGAGGACAAGGAGAACUACGGCGUCUAUCCGGCCAGAUAAUUUAAAUUGGCGGGAGUUCAGCUGAUAGUCAGGCGAGGGCUCUGGUCUGCGAUGGUACCACCUGUGACAACUGAGACAAUGGCUACGAUGAGGUCGACUGUUGCAAGCGGCCAGCAGACUUUCAGUGUCCCGUCAACAAGCUUUGCAUCGGCCGCCCUGCUCUGCGAUGGCCUUGCCUCGGAUAUUUUCGCGCACCGAGCCAAAAAUCGAGCUUUAAUGGCUCCAUCGAAGAAAUUAAAUAAGCAGUAAUCAUAGCCAAAAAUAAUUUUAAAUCACUGCAUACUGAUAUUUUCCUCGCAGGGAAGCACGCCGUCAAGCACUCCCUUUUAAACACUUUAAAAAGGCAAUAGAGAACCUGCCGGAUAUUGCAUCUGAGGUGCAACGCGACCAAGCUGCGGAUGAAGAUGGAGCAAAAGACUAUGGAUGAGUAUGCCAGGCUACCACUACCACAAUUCCUUCUACAAGGACCCAAGGUCCGAAGGCGACACCAGUUUAAGGUACGCGCUUGUCCCCAACGAACGAAGGACAAGUUGCUCAGCAUGCCCAAAAGCGGAAGAGGAUGAUUCGCCCGAGAAGUUUCAGCAUGAAUAGGCAAAAAUGGGAAAGUUCUUUUUUCCGGUUACAUUCUACGCCUUUGCAAAGUACGCGGACAAGGAAACGAAACCCAAACAAAUAAGCACGGAAGAAGUCAAGCCCGAUGGCAACACUGAAACGCCUUCUACAUGGUUAUGGAAAAGCGAAAGUCCACCAAUAUAUUCCCUGAGGCAACUCCUGGCUAUCCUGUUCAUGAAAAAACAGUAAAGUUUUUAGCGGAGUAUAGUCCGGAUAAACAGUCCAUUGAUAUGAAACAAGAAACACGUAUUUAAGGAUAUAUUUAUUUUAUAUUUAAGA